UACGUAGGGUGCGAGCGUUGUCCGGAAUUACUGGGCGUAAAGAGCUCGUAGGUGGUUUGUCGCGUUGUUCGUGAAAACUCACAGCUCAACUGUGGGCGUGCGGGCGAUACGGGCAGACUGGAGUACUGCAGGGGAGACUGGAAUUCCUGGUGUAGCGGUGGAAUGCGCAGAUAUCAGGAGGAACGCCGGUGGCGAAGGCGGGUCUCUGGGCAGUAACUGACGCUGAGGAGCGAAAGCGUGGGGAGCGAACAGG
RNAcentral lists this ribosomal RNA (253 nucleotides) under uncultured bacterium. RNAcentral's name for it is "partial 16S ribosomal RNA". It matches the Rfam family "Bacterial small subunit ribosomal RNA", at positions 524 to 776 of the family's 1533-position model. The record is from RNAcentral.